This is a non-coding RNA of Chrysemys picta bellii (western painted turtle), 2813 nucleotides long. The record is from RefSeq and is a predicted model, not a curated record. NCBI's taxonomy places the organism in Eukaryota, Metazoa, Chordata, Testudines, Emydidae.
AGAACCCCCAUGGUCUUGGUCUGAUCCCUUGACUGGGUUUCUGGGCUGCAGCCCCCUGCCUCCCAAUCGUAUUAAUGUAGCUGGCCCAGCUGGGCUGGGCCCCUGUAAACCCUUUGCCUCCAGAAGCCUGGGGCAUCAGCUGAAUAAAGUGACUGAAAACAAGGGCUUCAGACUUCCAUAUUAAUAAUUCACCCAAAGGUCAGUCCAAGCCACACCUUCCCUCUCACUUACACCUUCAUCUUCCCUUGCAGCCUUUGGCAAGUCCUCUAACCCACUUACCUUCAUCUCCAGCUGGAAUAGCCUGCCUGCUGCAGGUGCUCCCUCAAUCAGUGUGUCUCUGGUAGUGUCCUCCACACAGGCAACUGAUGAUGACCCACCUCCCCAAACCAGGGGAGGAGCUUUAUAGCUGUUCCUGGUCUUUUACAGCUCUAGGCUUUCAGCCCCGUCACCCUCUCUGCCUGACACCUGGAGAACAGCAGCUUCCCACAUAAUAGCCUCUUAACCUCCUUGAAGCUGUUUACCCCAACUAUUGCUUCAUUUCCUGCUUGUUUACCCCAAUAGCCUCCUUUGGCCGUACCCCAGACAGAUGGGCAGGCUAAUGCCAAGCAGGUAAACUGAGGCAAAUAGGGUGUUCAUGAAGGCUAAUACCGAUAGCUCCUGCAUUCUCCACCUGUGCAGCCGAAGCAUUGACUGCAAAGUGCAAACUAGGGUUGGAGCAGUAAGUGGGCAGCCCCUGGGGAAUAGUGUCCCCCCGAAAUCUGUCACUCGCCAGCUGUUGGGUUCUGGCUGAGGUAGCCAAAUGUGUGAUGUAGCUGAACCAGGGAGAGCAAAUGGGCAGCACAGCAGAAAGCAAGGUGGGGUCCUUGUUGUUCCAGCUGCUUUCUCUGUGUUAGUGUCAAUUGUUAAUGAGCUCUGGCAGCAGCCCAGUGGCCUGGUGCUACCCAAGGUUUGAGUGGGAGGGGCUGGAGGACAAGCUGGUGCUCAUCUGGCUGUGGGUUGGGGAAGGGAUGCAGCCUGCAGCCAGGCUGACACAUAUCAGCCACACUGGCUCUAGCAGCAACUGUCCCCAGGGGAGCUGCUGCCCUUCCGCCCUAGAGGAGUGAGCGGGGCCCCGGGCUUCGUGGGAUGGAGGCAGCCCAGUGUGAAGGCAUAGCACCCCCCAUCCAGACCAGUCUCCUCCAUGGAUGAUUUUGGUUGGGUGAAGGAGGUGAAAGACAAGCCCCUUUAUGGCCUGGAAGCCUUCUCCUGAAAUGGACACCCCAGCCAUCUGUGGGGUAAGCAAGCUGUAUUGCUGAUUGUUGCUACUAGAUGGCGACCUAGGACAGGACACAGGAAAAGUUUUCCUGAGACAUGAACCUGGUAAGAGAGAUGGGAUCUUAUUAGGGGACUAAAGGCAAACUAAAGAGAUAAACUACAAAUCCUGAUGUACUUCCCCUGAGACAGUGAAAGGAGGGAGCUAAUAACUGUCAUGAGUUUUAUAGAUAAUAGCAACAUUUAUAUAGCUUUCUUCAACUGCCUUAUACAUCCUAUGCAAUGAUUCUCUGGUGAUGAUUCUCUAUUCAGUUCUGUCAGAUGGUCCACAGAACAGGUAGAGUGCUCCAAAAAACCCAGCAGAACUAAGCAUCAAGGCUCUUUAAAUAUCUGUAGCUCAGCUCCCUAUUCAAUUCGAGGGACCUUUCCCCAUAGCAAAAGUAUGCAGCAUGUGCUAGCAAAUCCUGUACAGCCCUAGUACUGCACUGUAUUCCUGACCAUCUGUCCCCCAGGGCUGGGACUCCCCACAGCUCUGAUACUGCCCCUCUCACCUACCUUUGGAGUGAGUUACACACCUGGCAUGUUUUUAGGGCUGUUCUUUAAAUACCUGAGAGGAGGGACUCUGAGGAUCACCAUGGAAACAACACAACCAACAUCAGUCAGACACCAUCAAGUUAAUAGGUCAGCAAACACAUUGUACAUCAGCCCUAACCAAGCACACAUACCCUGCAGGCAGGGGGAGCACCGAAGGUGCAGGCAGGAGCACAGAAAGGAGCGAAGGCACAGGAACAAGCACGGGAAGGAGUGGUGGAGCACUUGGAGAAGGAGAGGCAGAGGGAAGAUGGGAAGAACAGCAGCAGCACAGGCAGGAGUGCUGGAAAGAGCAGUAGAUGUGCCCGGGGAGAGCACUGAAGGCACAGGAAGGAGAGUCAGGAGGAGUGUGAGCAGAGGCAUCGGGAGAAAGGAAUGAUGGAGUGGUGGCGGCACAGCACUGAGAAGAGGGGAGGGAUAGCUUAGUGGUUUGAGCAUUGGCCUGCUAAACCCAGGGUUAUGAGUUCAAUCCUUGAGGGGGCCACUUAGGGAUCUGGGGCAAAAUCCGUACUUGGUCCUGCCAGUGAAGGCAGGGUGCUGGACUCGAUGACCUUUCAGGGUCCCUUCCAGUUCUAUGAGAUAAGUAUGUCUCCAUAUUAAAAAAAAAAACAACACAACAACUAUUAACCAGGAAUGUAAAUUGCUUUCUUAUCAACUACCAGUUUGUCAGGAUAGAAUGUAUUGGGAAAUCAGUUCUUAUACGUAAAAGGUAUUGAUUAAAAUACAGGAAUUGGUUAUUAUAGCAACUAUAAGUAUGAAUGGAAAAGGGGUGUUAUGUAACCAAAAUAAAAAAAUAGUCAGUGAAUAAGUAUGUUAUAUUGGAAAUCCUUUAUAUUCAUGUUAAAUUCUAUAAACUGUAUGCUAUGUAGAUGCUGUGACCUUUCUAAGAACUCCUGUCUUCUGCUAUGUAUCUGCACUGGAGAACGCAAAACCUUUAAACUUUGCUAAUUUUUAAAACACUAUGCCUAAAA